CCGACACGAAGGUUCCGGCAAGGGCAGGAGCCGUUCCCGUGACCGAUACCUGCCGAUCCACUCGGGAGCUGGCGUGUGCCGGAGGGGAAAGAGCCUAAGUUUAACAUCCAAGAGAUGCCUCUGCACCACAGCUGAGAGGAAGAAGGGAUAUACAAAGGGAAACAAAAGCCCUCUGAAUGGAUUACCUUACACAAAGUUUUAGGCAGAGUUUACGGUUCCAUGGGACCCAAGGACCUCCUGUGCUAAAAUCCUUGAAGCACAGAGACAGCAAGAUAAUGCUCUACUGAACCAUCUCGGGAUGCACUGUCCCUGUCACUGCAGAAAGUCUCAGAUCUAUGCUUUAUCCAAACUGCUGACCCUGUACAUACCACUUCUGGGGUACAGAGGAGCUGGGGACACGGCUGGAAUGGCACAAGGCCUGGGUGGCCACAGGCAUUAUGUACACAAACUCCAGAAUGUUAAAAUUAAAACAAUGUAGGCUCAUGUCUUCUUUGUACCUCUGACAGCUCUGGUCAGAUACUAAGAGAUAAUGCCUUAAAUUAUAUCCUUCAUCAAGGCAUUUUGAAUCCAUAAUUGUCUAGGAGUUAUUUUAUAAUUAAUCUGAAAAUACUGUGGAAAUAAAACCCAGUAUCUUGUGUUCUCAGAAAACUAUUAAAUCCAGUUUUUAUUCACACUUAAAACAACAACAAAAAAGAUUUACAUGCUCUGUAAAUCUACAAAGAUGCAAAGAAUCAUAGCUGAAUAUAGCAAUGGUUUAACAUUUUAUUGAACUGGUGUGCUUUAUGUGCUGUUUUUAGUGAAUCAGUGAAAAAAAAAA
This is a non-coding RNA of Cyanistes caeruleus (blue tit), 817 nucleotides long. The record is from RefSeq and is a predicted model, not a curated record. NCBI's taxonomy places the organism in Eukaryota, Metazoa, Chordata, Aves, Passeriformes, Paridae.